RNAcentral lists this ribosomal RNA (465 nucleotides) under Vreelandella stevensii. RNAcentral describes it as "partial 16S ribosomal RNA". It matches the Rfam family "Bacterial small subunit ribosomal RNA", at positions 338 to 795 of the family's 1533-position model. Lineage: Bacteria; Pseudomonadati; Pseudomonadota; Gammaproteobacteria; Oceanospirillales; Halomonadaceae. The record is from RNAcentral.
CCUACGGGCGGCAGCAGUGGGGAAUAUUGGACAAUGGGGGGAACCCUGAUCCAGCCAUGCCGCGUGUGUGAAGAAGGCCCUCAGGUUGUAAAGCACUUUCAGUGAGGAAGAACGCCUGGUGGUUAAUACCCAUCAGGAAAGACAUCACUCACAGAAGAAGCACCGGCUAACUCCGUGCCAGCAGCCGCGGUAAUACGGAGGGUGCGAGCGUUAAUCGGAAUUACUGGGCGUAAAGCGCGCGUAGGUGGCUUGAUAAGCCGGUUGUGAAAGCCCCGGGCUCAACCUGGGAACGGCAUCCGGAACUGUCAAGCUAGAGUGCAGGAGAGGAAGGUAGAAUUCCCGGUGUAGCGGUGAAAUGCGUAGAGAUCGGGAGGAAUACCAGUGGCGAAGGCGGCCUUCUGGACUGACACUGACACUGAGGUGCGAAAGCGUGGGUAGCAAACAGGAUUAGAUACCCGAGUAGUC